RNAcentral lists this ribosomal RNA (468 nucleotides) under uncultured bacterium. RNAcentral's name for it is "partial 16S ribosomal RNA". It matches the Rfam family "Bacterial small subunit ribosomal RNA", at positions 28 to 507 of the family's 1533-position model. The record is from RNAcentral.
GACGAACGCUGGCGGCGUGCUUAACACAUGCAAGUCGAACGGAAAGGCCCUGCUUUUGUGGGGUGCUCGAGUGGCGAACGGGUGAGUAACACGUGAGUAACCUGCCCUUGACUUUGGGAUAACUUCAGGAAACUGGGGCUAAUACCGGAUAGGAGCUCCUGCUGCAUGGUGGGGGUUGGAAAGUUUCGGCGGUUGGGGAUGGACUCGCGGCUUAUCAGCUUGUUGGUGGGGUAGUGGCUUACCAAGGCUUUGACGGGUAGCCGGCCUGAGAGGGUGACCGGCCACAUUGGGACUGAGAUACGGCCCAGACUCCUACGGGAGGGAGCAGUGGGGAGUAUUGCACAAUGGGCGGAAGCCUGAUGCAGCAACGCCGCGUGCGGGAUGACGGCCUUCGGGUUGUAAACCGCUUUCGCCUGUGACGAAGCGUGAGUGACGGUAAUGGGUAAAGAAGCACCAGCUAACUACGUG